Molecule: ribosomal RNA, 433 nt
Filed under: uncultured bacterium
Lineage: Bacteria
Description: partial 16S ribosomal RNA
Rfam family: Bacterial small subunit ribosomal RNA
Source: RNAcentral
AACGAACGCUGGCGGCAUGCCUAACACAUGCAAGUCGAAUGAGACCUUCGGGGCUAGUGGCGCACGGGUGCGUAACGCGGGGGAACCUGCCCUUAGGUUCGGGAUAACUCCCCGAAAGGGGUGCUAAUACCGGGUAAUGUCUUCGGACCAAAGAUUUAUCGCCUUUGGAUGGGCCCGCGUUGGAUUAUCUAGUUGGUAGGGUAAAAGCCUACCAAGGCGACGAUCCAUAGCUGGUCUGAGAGGAUGAUCAGCCACACUGGGACUGAGACACGGCCCAGACUCCUACGGGAGGCAGCAGUGGGGAAUAUUGGACAAUGGGCGAAAGCCUGAUCCAGCAAUGCCGCGUGAGUGAUGAAGGCCUUAGGGUUGUAAAGCUCUUUUACCCGGGAUGAUAAUGACAGUACCGGGAGAAUAAGCUCCGGCUAACUCCGUG